AACGAACGCUGGCGGCAGGCUUAACACAUGCAAGCCGAACGCCCCGCAAGGGGGAGUGGCAGACGGGUGAGUAACGCGUGGGAAUCUACCGUGCCCUGCGGAAUAGCUCCGGGAAACUGGAAUUAAUACCGCAUACGCCCUACGGGGGAAAGAUUUAUCGGGGUACGAUGAGCCCGCGUUGGAUUAGCUAGUUGGUGGGG
Molecule: ribosomal RNA, 200 nt
Filed under: uncultured bacterium
Lineage: Bacteria
Description: partial 16S ribosomal RNA
Rfam family: Bacterial small subunit ribosomal RNA
Source: RNAcentral